Molecule: long non-coding RNA, 1089 nt
Organism: Nannospalax galili (Upper Galilee mountains blind mole rat)
Lineage: Eukaryota; Metazoa; Chordata; Mammalia; Rodentia; Spalacidae
Exons: 3
Source: RefSeq, a predicted model, not a curated record
UAGUUUCCUCUUCACUUCCUUUACCAGUGCUAGUAGAUGGAGUGUUUUGUUGUUUUUUGGUGGUUUUGACAAAGAAAUUUCAAAAGCAGUCACUACCAAUCAGCAAGUUCAUGCCAUGCCUCUAGGUGGAUGCAGGCAGAUCUGCUGGGCAUCCUGGCUGGCCUGGCCAUCUCUCCCUAUGUCCGUCUAGCAUGCUGGGAUUUGGUUAUUUCCCAUCAAUCCCUUUUUCAGUUAUAGCAGAUACCAUUUGCAGAUGGGAGAGCCUUCUUUUUUCAUGCUUCCCACUGCCCAAGCCACACAGGAAGUUGCUGGGCUGAUAUUUGCAGGGCCUUAGCCACCCACUGUUUCUUUCUCAACUGAGGGAGGAGAAGGUGUCCUUGUGGCCCCUCUGUGUUUCUUUAAAGUUAGAACUUACAUUGGGCCCUCAGGCAGCAACCUGAUUUAAGCCUAAAUGUACUCUUAUCCACUGCAUUUGUGCUAGUAAGUGGAAAAGCUUUCAGCCUGGGGCAGAGGCACUCUGCGUUCUCUCUGAAGGAGGAACCUACUCUAGGGCAACUUCUUUACCAGCUUUUCCCCAAUCCAGUAACUUGAAGGUUCCCUAACCCAUCUCUCUUCUCUUCCCUGUAGCAACAGCUCAAAGAAUCCUAUUGCUUGCAGUCUUUGGGCAGACUUGAGAACUCAUCCCAUCCUUUAUCUUCCCAGUUUCCUGCCUUGCACAAGCUUUCACAAAACGUCAAUCUCAGACCUCAGGGUCCCAGAAAUCCAGCACUCCCCCAAUCUCCCAGAAUGCAGUCCCUGUUUCUUGAAGACAACUGGUUGAGCUGAAUGUGCUGGACAAACCUAUUGCUCCUUUGGAAAAGAGCCUUUCCACUCAGAGAUGGCUGCACAGGUCUCUGGCUCUACAGACAGGAGUGCCAACUCAGAGGAAACCGUUAGCCCCAGAUAACAUCACAACCACCAAGGUGACAUGCAGCUGCUCUCCUGCCGCCCAGGCUGACAACAGGUUGGGCACAUCAGUCCCCAGAAGCCUCCUCUGACCAUGGCCAGUCUCAGGAAAUGAGUGUCAACAGCCUAGCAGAUGGGAACCCA